Molecule: long non-coding RNA, 1442 nt
Filed under: Sus scrofa (pig)
Lineage: Eukaryota; Metazoa; Chordata; Mammalia; Artiodactyla; Suidae
Description: lncRNA (ENSSSCG00005013541.1)
Source: RNAcentral
AUGACUUUUCCAAAAUUAGCUACACAUACUCAAUCUCUUGCGCAUGGACUUUCAGGCCCAUCUUCCUUCAUUUGGCUUAAAUUCUUCUUAUUUUGGUUCCCUCAGGUCCCUGAUUUGUUUGCAUUAUGUUUCCUUUUCUUGAUGUAUGCUUCUUUUAUUAAUACUGGGUUUCAUAUUAUUUAUUAUAGAAAUACUUCCAAAUGGCUAUCUCGAACUGUGGUUACAAACUGGGAGCUGAUGACAUCUCUCGUGUCUAGGAACAGAAGGGAGAAUCCAUCUGUUGGCAGGAAGAGAAAAAAGAAGGUACACAAGGUACUGUAUGUUUGCAAUUUUUUUUUUCAAACACUGGAGACAGGAAAUGUUUGAGUUGAAGUGCUAAUGGUAAAUGUCUGAGUGUGUGCUCCGUAUUAUUGCAUGCAAAAAUUGCAUUUAAAAUGAACUUAGAGAUGACACUUUAAAUACUCAGUCCCCCCCCCAGCCAAACAAAACCAUUUUUUAAAAAUACAAACUAUACUAAUAAUGUGAAUGACAUGUUGGAAAAAUUAAGCUAGGUAUGCAGUGCUCUUUAAAAUGAUCACUGUCAUUUAAUCUGUUUCCACCAACAUUUUAGGUUCCCUGAUGCAGAGAGAAAUACAUAAUGAGAUAUGCUCAUUAAUGUGGAGUCUUAGGAUAUUUCUCUUUAUCGUUUAGGUGCUUUUAAAGAUACUGAUUUUUGUCUUAGGAGAAAACUGUGUGUAAAAUACCCCUCAAAAACCUGACUGAAUCAGCAGAAUAACAUAACCUGUCUGGCUUCCAUGUAUCAGAAAUUCCUUACUACCUAAAAAAAAAAAAGGGCUAUUGUGAACAGCCUGGGUUGGAUCACUUUAAUGAUGUGUUACAAAAUAUAGCUGAGCUGCUGUAAACAAUCUCUCCUUUGUUUAAAAGAACGAAAAAGACAUAGAACAAGAAUGGGUAAAAAUGCUUCCUGUUGCAAAGCUUUCACUCUUAAAAACAAUUUCUAGACUUCUCACAACAUUCCUCUUUGACUAGCCACCAGCAAGCACACCCCUCCAGGGAAGGGUAUGUAUAUGAGUGUAUGCACACACACUUCCCUCUCCUCAAAAAAUCUGCUGAACACUUACUAUAUUUCACUGUGUGCCCCAAAAAUUAAUCCUUCAAAACUCUUUUAAAUUCUUUUAAGUCUGAAAAAGCACAACUGGCCUAGACUUAUAUGAUGGAAACCUUUGCCUGGUGGAGUUUGAUGUACUGAAAAUGGACUCCUGGUUCCUUAGUUUACCAGCUAUUUUGGGAAAACCAUUCAUCAGCGUAAAUAAAACCUAUUACAUCGAUUUAAUGGGAUUCACAUAAAUGAACCUGUAUUUGGUCCAUUGCAGGUGCUCUAUAAUGAGCACUGUUUGAAUCUCACCUGAAUCUAUUGUGCAUUACAAGAGUCCAAGCAACAG